This 253-nucleotide ribosomal RNA is filed under the name uncultured bacterium. Its description in RNAcentral is "partial 16S ribosomal RNA". It matches the Rfam family "Bacterial small subunit ribosomal RNA", at positions 524 to 776 of the family's 1533-position model. The record is from RNAcentral.
UACAGAGGGUGCAAGCGUUGUUCGGAAUUAUUGGGCGUAAAGCGUGCGUAGGCGGUUGUCUAAGUUUGGUGUGAAAUCUCCUGGCUUAACUGGGAGGGUGCGCCGAAAACUGGGUGACUGGAGUGUCGGAGAGGUAAGCGGAAUUCCUGGUGUAGCGGUGAAAUGCGUAGAGAUCAGGAGGAACACCUGUGGUGUAGACAGCUUACUGGACGAUAACUGACGCUGAGGCACGAAAGCGUGGGUAGCAAACAGG